UACGGAGGGUGCGAGCGUUAUUCGGAAUUACUGGGCGUAAAGCGCGUGUAGGCGGCAGGGCAAGUCUGGUGUGAAAGCCCGGGGCUCAACCCCGGAAGUGCAUUGGAAACUGCUCUGCUUGAGUACCGGAGAGGAAGGGGGAAUUCCCGGUGUAGCGGUGAAAUGCGUAGAUAUCGGGAGGAAUACCAGUGGCGAAGGCGCCCCUCUGGACGGGUACUGACGCUGAGGCGCGAAAGCGUGGGGAGCAAACAGG
RNAcentral lists this ribosomal RNA (253 nucleotides) under uncultured microorganism. Its description in RNAcentral is "partial 16S ribosomal RNA". It matches the Rfam family "Bacterial small subunit ribosomal RNA", at positions 524 to 776 of the family's 1533-position model. The record is from RNAcentral.